This 604-nucleotide long non-coding RNA is filed under the name Ictidomys tridecemlineatus (thirteen-lined ground squirrel). RNAcentral's name for it is "lncRNA (ENSSTOG00000032850.1)". The record is from RNAcentral. Lineage: Eukaryota; Metazoa; Chordata; Mammalia; Rodentia; Sciuridae.
GAACUGGACUGACAUCCCAUUACUUUUCAUCAUUCUACAGGUUCUCUAUGUGAUCUUCACACUCUCAAACUCUACAGCCUCAUCUGGACCUUGGUGAGAGCCUCAACUUCUCCCUGUGUCCAUCUCCUCAAACCGUCAUCCACUCUAUUUCAGAAAAAAACCUGCCUUGGCUCUGGACCUGAUCACUGUGUUUGAGACCCCACCAAGGAGCCCCACACAGCAUCAUGUCUGUAUAGAUUCCUCUGUGUUUGAGAGUUCCUCUGUCAAGAAGGAUCUCUCAAGGUAUUUUUUAGAUUUUUUCCACUGUGUUUUUCUUGUUCUUCUCAUAUUUAGACUGGGUCUAUAAUACUUGUUAAAGCAGGUCACAUAGGUGAGAACAGCUCUGACAUCUCUUGUUCUCCAAUUUAAUUUUCUCAUUAGUACUGAACUAUUCAGCUGGCUGUGAGCAUGCUUUCCAGGGUCCUCAUUGUGAAAUUACUGUUCUUGUGUGUCCACAUUGUCUGUGUUCUAGAGGAAGUAAUGAUGCAGAGCCCACAUUUAAGGAAAAGGAAGUGAGCAUCACUUACAUAAUUGCUGUGUCUGCCUCAAUUGACUAAAAUUUUUC